GCUAUAUCACCGGUUCCUGUACGAUCACCGAAGUUAAACAACGUUGAUCUUGGGCUGUACCUAGAUGGUUGACUGCUUGGGAACACCGGGUGGUGUAAG
Molecule: non-coding RNA, 99 nt
Organism: Acanthosepion pharaonis
Lineage: Eukaryota; Metazoa; Mollusca; Cephalopoda; Sepiida; Sepiidae
Source: the annotation of a GenBank genome assembly